Amphibalanus amphitrite is the source of this 495-nucleotide long non-coding RNA. RefSeq lists it as uncharacterized. Lineage: Eukaryota; Metazoa; Arthropoda; Thecostraca; Balanomorpha; Balanidae. The record is from RefSeq and is a predicted model, not a curated record. The transcript is spliced from 4 exons.
UAUACCGUGGCUCUGAUCCGAAAUCAGGGCAUUUUUGUUCGAACAAAUACCUAUAAUAACGAUGAAGAAGUGUGUGAUCCGCGGAGCAAACGACCUACGUCGGGUCGGGACUGAUAUGCGUGUGACUGUGCACAAGUUCCCGCUAAAAAAAGAAGUACAGAGAAAAGUGGAUGAGGGUGUGUGGCAUGACCAAUGAGCCAAGACCACAUGACCACUUAAACUUAACAAGAAGUGCGCACCAUGAUAAGCACAGUCAAAAACGUUUGCGUCUAAAGAACAGUGCUGUGCCGGAUCAGAAUAUUCCGUAUACGCCUUGGGUUGCUGUCGCUGCUCGGUCAUCCACAGAUGAAAGUGAUCAAGAAAUGGACAUCACUCAGGUGUGGGAUCACUCGUGGAAGUUCACGGCGGAUACGGAGCCGUGCAUGCAGCUCUGGUUCGAUCCUGCUCAGGGAAGCCCCAAUGACGCCGUGGCGCGCAUCUGGGCUGAGCGGGUGA